This 441-nucleotide ribosomal RNA is filed under the name uncultured bacterium. Its description in RNAcentral is "partial 16S ribosomal RNA". It matches the Rfam family "Bacterial small subunit ribosomal RNA", at positions 338 to 795 of the family's 1533-position model. The record is from RNAcentral.
CCUACGGGUGGCAGCAGUGGGGAAUAUUGCACAAUGGGCGAAACCCUGAUGCAGCAACGCCGCGUGAGUGAAGAAGUACUUCGGUAUGUAAAGCUCUAUCAGUAGGGAAGAAGGAAGACGGUACUUGACUAAGAAGCACCGGCUAACUACGUGCCAGCAGCCGCGGUAAUACGUAGGGGGCAAGCGUUAUCCGGAUUUACUGGGUGUAAAGGGAGCGUAGACGGUUACGCAAGUCUGGUGUGAAAGGCGGGGGCCCAACGCGCGGACUGCUUUGGAAACUGGAUAACUGGAGUGCAGGAGAGGUAAGUGGAAUUCCUGGUGUAGCGGUGAAAUGCGUAGAUAUUAGGAGGAACACCAGUGGCGAAGGCGGCUUACUGGACUGUAACUGACGUUGAGGCUCGAAAGCGUGGGGAGCAAACAGGAUUAGAUACCCCUGUAGUC